This 69-nucleotide transfer RNA is filed under the name Marmota monax (woodchuck). RNAcentral describes it as "tRNA.Val". The stretch from base 2 to 62 matches the Rfam family "tRNA", at positions 6 to 65 of the family's 71-position model. From Rfam's summary of the family: Transfer RNA (tRNA) molecules are approximately 80 nucleotides in length. The record is from RNAcentral. Lineage: Eukaryota; Metazoa; Chordata; Mammalia; Rodentia; Sciuridae.
GUGUAGCUCAGUGGUAGAGUGCUUGCCUAACAUGUGUGAGGUCCUGGGUUCAAUCCCCAGUAAAACACA